Molecule: long non-coding RNA, 133 nt
Organism: Octodon degus (degu)
Lineage: Eukaryota; Metazoa; Chordata; Mammalia; Rodentia; Octodontidae
Exons: 3
Source: RefSeq, a predicted model, not a curated record
CCCAGUGAAACCUGUCCUCCAAGUCUUUAAGAACGGUUGCCGACCUAAUGUCAUUUAACUGGCAAAAGGAGUCCCUUUUUAUGUAGGCAUGUAGGUUUUCUAAGUUUAAGCUAGCUAAAAAUCUCAUUUUAUA